GGGCUUGUGGUCUAGUGGCUAUGACAUCGCCCUCACACGGCGAAGGUCCCAGGUUCGAAUCCUGGCAGGCCCACCA
This 76-nucleotide transfer RNA is filed under the name Candidatus Woesearchaeota archaeon. RNAcentral's name for it is "tRNA-Val". It matches the Rfam family "tRNA". Rfam says of the family: Transfer RNA (tRNA) molecules are approximately 80 nucleotides in length. Their secondary structure includes four short double-helical elements and three loops (D, anti-codon, and T loops). Lineage: Archaea; Nanobdellati; Candidatus Woesearchaeota. The record is from RNAcentral.